UGACAAACAUACCCCAGAGGAGUAAAAUAGCCUUGUUCCUAAGGCAAGGCUAAGUGGAACAGACCGGUUUUCUUCCGGUCCUGUCGAUUGGCGUAAUUGGGUCCUGCGCGGCAGAUGUCUGUGAACCCCGCUAGGUCCGUGAGGAAGCAACGGUAAGUGGACCUCUCUGGGUGUCGUAGGGGUGCCUGAUUGCGCUAAUCGGCAGGACCGGGCGAAAAUCGGUUUCCUGUGUCA
RNAcentral lists this signal recognition particle RNA (234 nucleotides) under Chloroflexota bacterium. RNAcentral's name for it is "Chloroflexi bacterium signal recognition particle sRNA large type". It matches the Rfam family "Bacterial large signal recognition particle RNA". Rfam says of the family: The signal recognition particle (SRP) is a universally conserved ribonucleoprotein involved in the co-translational targeting of proteins to membranes. Archaeal SRP consists of a 7S RNA and homologues of the eukaryotic SRP19 and SRP54 proteins. Lineage: Bacteria; Bacillati; Chloroflexota. The record is from RNAcentral.